Molecule: long non-coding RNA, 609 nt
Filed under: Rosa chinensis
Lineage: Eukaryota; Viridiplantae; Streptophyta; Magnoliopsida; Rosales; Rosaceae
Description: sRNA RchiOBHm_Chr6g0284631
Source: RNAcentral
CGACUGCAUUGUUAUUGUAUUUGAGAGUUGUAAAAAAGAAAAGAUAGACCCUUUAUGAGCGAGAGGUCGAGGCCUCUAUGGCGGCGACUAUUGGCAUAGUUCCAGAUUUGGGCUUGGUGAGCUGGUUUGAAUAGCCCCUCAGUUCAGAUUGUUCGAGUUCUAUGGUGGCUAAGGAGGACAUAUAAAUCUGGGUUCUGAAUUUAAUUUAAUGUUCAAGGGAGCUUGCUUUUUCUUGCUGCUGCUGCCUUGGUGCGAAACAAAUACCACUUGAGAUUUUCAGAAAGCACAAAUCUUCCUUCCCUAGUUCUCAUGCCAAUGUAUGAUUCUCUUAGGACAAAUAGAAAUUGUAUUUUCUCUAGGACGGUAAGAUGAAUCACACGUUAUUGCUUUCAUUUCACUAAUUGAAGAUGGCAAGGGGUAGUUAACCAAUUCAAUCUAGCGUCUUGUGUUUAUGUCCCAUUCGUGUAACUUGUCCUGUCACCACGUUUGCUAUGACUCUGGUGAUAUUUUGUUGUUGGAGUAUGAGUCUCCAUCUUGGUUAGGGCUGGCCGACCUUUAAUAAUAUUCAGUUGUAACUCUUUAAAAUGUUCUGAUGAAUACAAUUCUUCU